RNAcentral lists this ribosomal RNA (497 nucleotides) under uncultured bacterium. RNAcentral's name for it is "partial 16S ribosomal RNA". It matches the Rfam family "Bacterial small subunit ribosomal RNA", at positions 28 to 507 of the family's 1533-position model. The record is from RNAcentral.
GACGAACGCUGGCGGCGUGCCUAAUACAUGCAAGUUGAGCGCUGAAGGUUGGUACUUGUGCCAACUGGAUGAGCAGCGAACGGGUGAGUAACGCGUGGGGAAUCUGCCUUUGAGCGGGGGACAACAUUUGGAAACGAAUGCUAAUACCGCAUAAAAACUUUAAACACAAGUUUUAAGUUUGAAAGAUGCAAUUGCAUCACUCAAAGAUGAUCCCGCGUUGUAUUAGCUAGUUGGUGAGGUAAAGGCUCACCAAGGCGAUGAUACAUAGCCGACCUGAGAGGGUGAUCGGCCACAUUGGGACUGAGACACGGCCCAAACUCCUACGGGAGGCAGCAGUAGGGAAUCUUCGGCAAUGGACGAAAGUCUGAACGCGCAACGCCGCGGGAGUGAAGAAGGUUCUCGGAUCGUAAAACUCUGUUGGUAGAGAAGAAAGUUGGUGAGAGUGGAAAGCUCAUCAAGUGACGGUAACUACCCAGAAAGGGACGGCUAACUACGUG